CCUACGGGAGGCAGCAGUGAGGAAUAUUGGUCAAUGGGCUUACGCCUGAACCAGCCAAGUCGCGUGAGGGAAGACUGCCCUAUGGGUUGUAAACCUCUUUUGUCAGGGAGCAAUUGGCGCUACGUGUAGCGUUAUCGAGAGUACCUGAAGAAAAAGCAUCGGCUAACUCCGUGCCAGCAGCCGCGGUAAUACGGAGGAUGCGAGCGUUAUCCGGAUUUAUUGGGCUUAAAGGGAGCGUAGGCGGGCGUUCAAGUCAGCUGUAAAAUCGCGCGGCUCAACCGCGCCCCGCAGUUGAAACUGGACGCCUUGAGUUCACAACAGGCAGGCGGAAUUCGUGGUGUAGCGGUGAAAUGCAUAGAUAUCACGAGGAACCCCGAUUGCGAAGGCAGCCUGCCGGGGUGCGACUGACGCUGAGGCUCGAAGGUGCGGGUAUCAAACAGGAUUAGAUACCCUUGUAGUC
RNAcentral lists this ribosomal RNA (460 nucleotides) under uncultured bacterium. Its description in RNAcentral is "partial 16S ribosomal RNA". It matches the Rfam family "Bacterial small subunit ribosomal RNA", at positions 338 to 795 of the family's 1533-position model. The record is from RNAcentral.